Molecule: ribosomal RNA, 288 nt
Filed under: uncultured bacterium
Lineage: Bacteria
Description: partial 16S ribosomal RNA
Rfam family: Bacterial small subunit ribosomal RNA
Source: RNAcentral
AUUGAACGCUGGCGGCAUGCUUUAUACAUGCAAGUCGUGCGGCAGCGCGGGGGCAACUCUGGCGGCGAGCGGCGAACGGGUGAGUAAUACAUAGGAACGUAUCCUGAAAUGGGGGAUAGCUCGGCGAAAGCCGGAUUAAUACCGCAUACGCUCCACGGAGGAAAGCAGGGGAUCGCAAGACCUUGCGUUUCUGGAGCGGCCUAUGUCUGAUUAGCUAGNGGCGGGUAUAGCCACCAAGGCGACGAUCAGUAGCUGGUCUGAGAGGAUGAUCAGCCACACUGGGACUGA